GCCCUCCUUUCUCUCGGCUACAUCGCCGCUCCACCCGAGUCGCCGGUUGCAGCUCCACGGCGUCACAGGGUCGCCGGUACCCUCCAUCGAGCUGCAGUUCUGCCUGCGGCUAUCUCCGCCGGCGUUCUGUACUCUGCAUUCUCGCCGUUGCAGUCAGAGUUCUACCGGCAGCCAAUCUGUCGGCAUCGCCGUGGUUGGGUUCGACGACAGUAGCUUUACGGACAUUUCCCCCUAAGCUAAGUUCUUUAUUCCAUUCUUCCCUAGUGUAGUUAUUUAAAAAAAAAACUGAGCUAAGUCCGUGACAAUCUGUAAUUUGAGCAUUGGAGACUUCUUUGGACUUGCUGUUAUAGAUUUAUUUCUUAUUGGAGGAGGUGAUUUAUUUCAAUUGUUCAUUGUAGUUUAUUGCAAAAGCUAUGUUUAAAAAAAAAUAUAAUGUGAGUUGAUGAGGAACAAUGUUGCUACUGUUAUGUGAAAUCUUAGCAUGCUGCAAGGUUUCCUCUAAGAUGGUUCAUGCUUUCCUAUUCUAAGUGUGAAAUGUAUGGAGAUAUAAGGAUGGGAGUGUGGUUACCUGUUGUGGUGAUAAAUUGGGAAAAGAAACUGAUGGGUUCUUGCUAGCUUAGCUCCACUCACUGCCCCUUUCACAAAACUCACUCUCUCUUGAUUUCUGACUGAAGUGGUAAAGGAGAGAUAUAGGGUGGAGACUCUCAUAUUUAUAGGCUGUUUGUUGUUGAAUCUUUGUAUAACAGAUUGUGGUGGGAUUAGCAGGCAUCAAACCUGAUAACUCUUGGCUCUUUAUUCAGAAUGGUUGGCUGUUUGUAAGGCAGUACAUAAGAUGUACUCGUGAAUCAAAUGGACUGAGCUCCUCCUUUGAUUUCUUAUUGCAGCAAAAUCCCUUUUGAUGAUCUUCAUCCUACUUUGUUUAGUUCGAUUUGUUUCUAUCUUUGGAGUACAUGUACUCUUGCAUUUAAACACUUUGUUGGAUUGUUGCAGGUAGUAUUUGGAGAGAAGGCAGAAGCUGUUGGGAGUAGGAGCUGUGUUGCAUGCAAGCAUUGACUUACCUUCUUGGGUGGUAGUCAUAGGAGGAAAAAUUAUUGGGCUGCUCUUCGGGCCGACAGCCCACUGCCUACGGGCCGGACUAACGGGUCUUGGGUGUGGUUCGUGCUUGAAAAGAAAAGGCCCGCUGUUUAUGUUCUUGCAUUUUUAGUCAUAAUUUCUUUUCUUAACUUCAUAAACUCAUGCACUUAAUUAUGUAAAUUAGCGCGUAGCUUGAGGUGUAUGCGAACACUUUAGUUUGGGAAAGUAAUCUUCAUAUUCUUUCUCGACGUUUGUUAUGCUCAAAGUAGAUAUAUAAAUGUUUUAGUUCGUCGA
Salvia splendens (bonfire salvia) is the source of this 1368-nucleotide long non-coding RNA. RefSeq lists it as uncharacterized. NCBI's taxonomy places the organism in Eukaryota, Viridiplantae, Streptophyta, Magnoliopsida, Lamiales, Lamiaceae. The transcript has 2 exons. The record is from RefSeq and is a predicted model, not a curated record.